CAGGCUCUUUUCGAUUGUCACGGUUAUUCCUCGGGCGUUUAUCAUGACUGAUGUAAUUCCUUAAGAGUCCUCUUUUAAUCAGGGCUUCAAUUCCCUGCUGCAAGGCUUGACAAUCCUCCGUUGUAUGCCCAUGAUCCCGGUGAAAUUCACAAUACUUGCUCCUAUCUUUUGUGUCAGGGGGCGACUUCAUUCUUGAAUGCCACUUCAAUUCUUUCAUAUCUUUGAUCUCCAUUAAGAUAUUUGCCUUGGAGGUGUUUAAUCGGGCGAGAGGCCCUGGUGGACCUUCAUUCUUGCGCUUUUCCCGCGAAUACUCUGGUCGGGAAACGGGAUCAUGUGGCUUCUUGUUCUCGGCCUUUUCAUGGGAAGGACCAGAUCUCUUUAGAUUCAGUGUUUCCUCCAUAUUAAUGUAUUUUUUGGCUCGGGUGAGGAGCUCAAUCACUGUCUGCGGCGGGGUCUUCGAUAAGGACAUCUUGAAAGCUUCACAUCUUAUGGCGUAAGUGAGGGCGGAGACAGUCGCUGUGAUGUGAAGGUCGGGUAUUUGAAGCCUUUCUUUGUUAAACCUCAUCAUAAAUCCUUGUAGGGUUUUAUUUGGUCCUUGGCGAAGUUGCAUGAGAGAGGCCGCAGUCUUUCUGAUUCACUUGCUACUUGCAAAGAAGGCUGAGAACUUAUCAGCCAAAUAUGAGAAUGAGGCUAUGGAGUUG
Molecule: long non-coding RNA, 701 nt
Filed under: Olea europaea subsp. europaea
Lineage: Eukaryota; Viridiplantae; Streptophyta; Magnoliopsida; Lamiales; Oleaceae
Source: RNAcentral